Eurytemora carolleeae is the source of this 410-nucleotide long non-coding RNA. RefSeq lists it as uncharacterized. NCBI's taxonomy places the organism in Eukaryota, Metazoa, Arthropoda, Copepoda, Calanoida, Temoridae. The transcript is spliced from 2 exons. The record is from RefSeq and is a predicted model, not a curated record.
UUCAACACUUUGUAAGAUAGCAACUAUCCCAUUGUUACAAAGACAGUGGAUUAAAGGUUACUAUUGUAAAUCGGAAAGGAGGAUGCCACAUAAAAUAGAGGUUUAUUUGAAAUAACGUUUAAAAAGUAUAUUUUUAAUUCAUUUAAUUAAUCUUUAUAGGAGACUUUACAAAUAUAACCUGGAACCCUCCUAGCUGUGUUAGCACUACCCCUGCACCUACCACACCCCCACCCACAAUACCAGAGUUUCAUAGAUGCCAUCCUGGAGCCAGCUUUGUGUUUUUAUAUCUCUUCUGUGUUUAGUAUUACCAAAAAAUAUCUUGAUAUUAAUUUUUGUUUAUGAACAUCACUACUAAAUGUUUAUAUACAGUUCAAUGAUCAUAUUAGAAAAUAAAAGCAUUGAAAAAUGAA